AGUGAACGCUGGCGGUAGGCCUAACACAUGCAAGUCGAACGGCAGCACAGGAGAGCUUGCUCUCUGGGUGGCGAGUGGCGGACGGGUGAGGAAUACAUCGGAAUCUACUUUUUCGUGGGGGAUAACGUAGGGAAACUUACGCUAAUACCGCAUACGACCUACGGGUGAAAGCAGGGGACCUUCGGGCCUUGCGCGAUUGAAUGAGCCGAUGUCGGAUUAGUUAGUUGGCGGGGUAAAGGCCCACUAAGGCGACGAUCCGUAGCUGGUCUGAGAGGAUGAUCAGCCACACUGGAACUGAGACACGGUCCAGACUCCUACGGGAGGCAGCAGUGGGGAAUAUUGGACAAUGGGCGCAAGCCUGAUCCAGCCAUACCGCGUGGGUGAAGAAGGCCUUCGGGUUGUAAAGCCCUUUUGUUGGGAAAGAAAUCCAGCUGGCUAAUACCCGGUUGGGAUGACGGUACCCAAAGAAUAAGCACCGGCUAACUUCGUGCCAGCCGCCGCGGUAA
This 506-nucleotide ribosomal RNA is filed under the name uncultured bacterium. RNAcentral describes it as "partial 16S ribosomal RNA". It matches the Rfam family "Bacterial small subunit ribosomal RNA", at positions 29 to 523 of the family's 1533-position model. The record is from RNAcentral.